This 253-nucleotide ribosomal RNA is filed under the name uncultured bacterium. Its description in RNAcentral is "partial 16S ribosomal RNA". It matches the Rfam family "Bacterial small subunit ribosomal RNA", at positions 524 to 776 of the family's 1533-position model. The record is from RNAcentral.
UACGGAGGGAGCAAGCGUUACUCGGAAUUAUUGGGCGUAAAGGGCGCGUAGGCGAUUUGAUAAGUCUCGUGUGAAAGCCCAGGGCCUAACCCUGGAAGGGCAUGGGAUACUGUUGAAUUUGAGUUCCGGAGAGGAAGGCAGAAUUCCCGGUGUAGCGGUGAAAUGCGUAGAUAUCGGGAGGAAUACCAGUGGCGAAGGCGGCCUUCUGGACGGAUACUGACGCUGAGGCGCGAAAGCCAGGGGAGCAAACGGG